Molecule: RNA transcript, 4571 nt
Organism: Gorilla gorilla gorilla (western lowland gorilla)
Lineage: Eukaryota; Metazoa; Chordata; Mammalia; Primates; Hominidae
Gene: MMP24OS
Gene name: MMP24 opposite strand
Exons: 6
Source: RefSeq, a predicted model, not a curated record
CGGGGCCUUGAGGCGCUGGGGCGGGAUUGGCAGGGGACGGUCGCUGAGCCCCGCCCCGGAGUACAGGGUCGAGUCCCUCCUUUCCACUCCAACGCACGGAGAGUGAGGUCGGUGCGCGGUGGCGUCACGGCGCCAGCUCCUCCCGACGCCGAGACCAUGGGGGCUCAGCUAAGCGGCGGCCGCGGCGCCCCGGAGCCUGCGCAAACCCAGCCCCAGCCCCAGCCCCAGCCCCAGCCCCAGCCUGCGGCGCCGGAGGGCCCGGAACAGCCCCGGCAUCCGCCCCAGCCCCAGCCCCAGCCCCAGCCCCAGCCCCAGGCCCAGCCCGAGCCCAGCCCGUGGGGGCCGCUGGACGACGUGCGCUUCCUCAUCGCCUGCACUUCCUGGUACUGACGGCGUCCUCCGGAGGAUGUCGCCCCUCUGUCCGCCGUCCCCUGUGGUUCUUGCCUGCCUUGUCUCCUCUCCCCACGUCCCUGCGUCUCUUACACCCCCUCCCACCCGAGGCUCCCCAGAGAUAGCAGAGAAUUCGAAGAGGUCGCCGGGGACUGGAAAGAAGUCCCGGCAGGGCCGCCUUCGCAGUCUACACCCAGACCCAGCUCAGACCUUCGUGACCACCCCAUCCCUUUCUCCGGCUGGCUGGGUCGGGGGCAUCCCUCUCUGUCGCUGGCUUCCAGAGGCAGGGCAGGCCUCCUGAUUUGGUAACUCGAGGCGUCCCUGGAGUACACUGAGGAUAAGUGUUUGAGAAAUGCUGUCUGAAGGAAUGAAGUCAGUCUAUGACAACGUCUCUCUGCCGUGAAUCAUUCCUGCAGAUGAAAAAGUGUGACUUGGCAGCUGCAGAGUGCCCUUGGGCAAAUGACCUAACUUCUCUAAGCAUCACAUUCCUCAUCUGUUAAACAGAUGUUUAAAGAAGGGCCGUUAGGAGGACUCAAUGAGAUGAUGCACUGUGGUAGGUAAAAUAAUGAUCCUUCAAAGACAUCCACAUCCUAAUCCCCAAAACCUGGGAAUAUGUUGCCUUAUGUGGUAAAAGAGACUUUAUAGAAAUGAUUAAGUUAAGGAUCUUCAGAUGGGGGAGAUUAGCCCAGAUUAUCCAGGUGGGUCUAAUGAAAUCACAAGCAUCCUUAUAAGAGGAAGGCAGGGGGUUUGAGUCAGAGAAGGUGUUGGGAGACAUAGGUUGUAGCAGUGCUGCUGCUGCUAGAAGGGGCCACAAGCCAAGGGAUGCGGGCAUUCUCUCGACACUGGAAAAGGCAAGGAAGAGAUCCUCUCCUAGAAACUCCAGCAGGAAUGCAGCCCUGCCAAUAACUUGAUUUCAGUCCAGCAAGACCCAUUUUGGACUUCUGACCUCCAGAAAGCCAAUCUAAAAAGGGCCCUCAGGAUCGCCCACAAUGCCCAGCUUAGCUUCUUGACAAACACCUUAAUGGCGCAGCAUUGCCUGUUGGCUGCCGUCGGCUCUUGAGUGGGUGGGCUCUGGGCUACUUGGGAUGCUGAAAGGAAAAAAAAACACCCAAAACCAAAAACAAAAAUGAGAAGGCCGAUUUCCUGGAGUGCAGAGGUUUACAGCUUGAUGAGAAAACAGAAACGCAAAGAAAAACAAUGGCAAACACCACGUGUCAACAAGGAUACAGGCGGCUGCUCUAGGGGUCAAGGGAGACCUGAUGAGGGGCUGGGGAAGUUAGGAAAAAGUGUAAUGGAGGAGGGUGGGACUCUAGCUAGGACCUGAAGGAAAGGCUGGAUUUAAACCAGGGGAGGGGAGAGGAGAGGGCAUUUCAGGGAGGAAGUUGAGGGUGUACAGGAUGUGCCUGAGGCGGCAGAUAAGUUUCUCUGGAGCACAGGGUUCCUAUAGGAAAGUGUUGGGAAGAGAGGGAAGUAGUACAAGACAGUGAAUGCUAGGAUAAUAAAUUUGGGUUGUGUUCUGAAGGAAAAUGGGGGAGGGUGGUCAUUAAAGGUUGUGUGUGUGGUGUGUGUGUGUGUAUGUGUGUGUUUAAGCAGGAUGUGUGAAAAAUAGCAUUUUAUGAUUACAUGGUAAUUUGGAGAUGAAAAAAGGGCACAGGCUUUAGCGUCAGACCUAUGUUCAUAUCUUGGCUCUGUUCCAUUUUUAUAAAAUGAUGCUACUAUUACUGUAUAAGAUUGCUUUCAGCAUGAGGUGCUUGACACUUAAUAGAUAUUCCAUGUUAGUUCCCCUCCCAGUGGAGAGAAUAAUGACCAGAGGAGGCAGAGAGAUUGGUUAGGAGACUAGUGUAAUAGUCUAGGUAUAAGGAAAUAAGGAUAACAAUAAUAAUUAACAUUUAUUGAGUGCCUAAUACAUACUAGUUACUGGGCUAAGCACUUUCCUGCACGAUAUCUCAUUUAAUCUUCAUAGAUAAACCCUAUGAAAUAGAUGCUAUUAUUACCCCUAAUUUAGGAUAAAGAAGUGGAAGGGUCUGAAUAAGUUUGCCAAACUUGCAUGGUUCAUAAGUGAUAGAGCUGGAUCGAUUUGACUUCAGAACCCAUUUUUUUCUAGGAUGGGGGUGAGAAAAGAGACAGAUUUAAGAGACAACGGGCAUACAAGAAGAGGGAAAGGAGUUUGGAGUGAUGGCAAAUCGAGAAAGAUGGAUGGUAGCAUCUUCACAGAAACGGAGUCCUCAUGUGGAGGAACUGGCUUGAAGGAGGUGACAAGCGGCUCGGUUUUAGACUUGCUGAAACUGGGGUGACCACAAGAUCUGUGAGAUGGGUAUGGGAAUGAGUUCUCGAAGAAGGUGGAGAAUGGAUAUUUUGGACACCUUCAAGUAAAUAUGGUAGUUGAAGCUGAAAGCAAAGAGUUGAAGAGAGCAAAAGGCCAAGCGUUCCAUCCUGAGACAUACAUAUUCAGAGCCUGAGAAAAGUCAAGCCAAAAGUGAAUCUAAAGAUUGUCCAAAAAGACUGAAGAAUCAGGAUUGUGGAGUAUCACUGGAAAGAAGAAGAGAGGUUCAAAGAAAAGGAAGGAGUUGGCUGGGCGUGGUGACUCACACCUGUAAUCCCAGCAUUUUGGGAGGCCAAAGCAGGCGGAUUACAUGAGUCCAGGAGUUUGAGACCAGCCUGGCCAACAUGGUGAAACCCUGUCUCUACAAAAAAUACAAAAAUUAGCCAGGCAUAGUGGUGCACACCUGUAAUCCCAGCUACUGAGGAGGCUGAGGCCUGAGAAUCGCUUGAACCUGGGAGGCAGAGGUUGCAGAGAGCUGAGAUUGUGCCACCGCACUCCAGCCCAGUAACAGAGUGAGACUCUGUCUAAAAAAAAAAAAAAAAGAGAGAGAGAAGGAGUUGACAGUCUCAGGGAAAUCAAAGAGACUGAAGACUAUUAACACCAUUGAGGUGAACAGCUCACAGUCCUGGUAGGGAGGUGAUAGAGACAAAUCAUUGUGGUUACAUGAUGAGUUAUGACACGAAUGAGAACGAAGUGUUGUGGAAACAUUUAGGAAAGAGCAAUGAACUGCCAAAGUUGGAAGGUUUGGGAGGGGAUAUAUUCCAGAAAGAAGAAAUAGUAUAUUCAAAGAAUGAAGGGGAACAGACUGGACUGAGCUCUGUCUUAUUCUUCUCCUUUCCUCUAAUACCAAAUGCUUGUGGAACUGCCAGUGAUGAUAUAGCGCUGUGGUGGUCCACCUUGACCAGCUCCCAAGGAUGGCGGAUGUGAACGGCAGUAGGUAUUGAUGAUAAGGAAAGAAGAGGCUGAUAGAAGUCAAUGGUUGCUUAUAAAAUGGAUCCCUAAGAUAGUCCUUAGUAAGAGGACGGUCCAGAGACUGCUGUGAAAACAGUUCAAGAGGAGGUUUAGAAGGUUUCAGAGCAACACCCCAAGAUAGAAUCACUGGAACUCUGACUUCACAGCCUCCAGUCACCAUGAUGAGCAUGGGAUAAAAUGGAAACAGCACUUGACUUAACGUCGGAUACCUGAUUCAAGCUCUGGCUCUGUCACUGACUUUUGGUGUGCCUUCCAGCAAGUCACUUCAUUUAUUUGGGCCUUAGUUGCCUCAUAAAAUGAAAUGAAUGACCUCUGUCUUCUCCACUUCACUGGAAAGACCACAUGAGUGGUUGGAAUUCACUUAAUGAACUAUAUGGUAAACUGACCAGCUCCUAGGAAAAGCUUUAUUAUUAUUAUUAUUAUUAUUAUUAUACUUUAAGUUUUAGGGUACAUGUGCACAAUGCGCAGGUUUGUUACAUAUGUAUACAUGUGCCAUGUUGGUGCACUGCACCCAUUAACUCGUCAUUCAGCAUUAGGUGUAUCUCCUAAUGCUAUCUCUCCCCCUCCCGCCACCCCACAGCAGUCCCCGGAGUGUGAUGUUCCCAUUCCUGUGUCCAUGUGUUCUGUUGUUCAAUUCCCACCUAUGAGUGAGAACAUGCAGUGUUUGGUUUUUUGUCCUUGCGAUAGUUUGCUGAGAAUGAUGAUUUCCAGUUUCAUCUAUGUCCCUACAAAGGACAUGAACUCAUCAUUUUUUAUGGCUGCAUAGUAUUCCAUGGUGUAUAUGUGCCACAGUUUCUUAAUCCAGUCUAUCAUUGUUGGACAUUUGGGUUGGUUCCAAGUCUUUGCUAUUGUGAAUAGUGCCACAAUAAACAUACAUGUGCAUGUA